AGUACUUCCCAGGAAUUCUCCUGAGUCAACCCCCGGGGGGGCCCCCCGGGGUGAUACGACAUCCAUCGGGUGUCAAGAUAUUAAACUAAUUUUUGCAGAUAGGUUGUGGUUAGGAAUUUAUUCCGCCCUCGCCACGGGUUGGCCUGCUAUUGCACUAUUUGCAGGAUACGGCCCACUCUUU
RNAcentral lists this small nuclear RNA (181 nucleotides) under Stegodyphus mimosarum. Its description in RNAcentral is "U2 spliceosomal RNA". It matches the Rfam family "U2 spliceosomal RNA", at positions 53 to 192 of the family's 192-position model. From Rfam's summary of the family: U2 is a small nuclear RNA (snRNA) component of the spliceosome (involved in pre-mRNA splicing). Complementary binding between U2 snRNA (in an area lying towards the 5' end but 3' to hairpin I) and the branchpoint sequence (BPS) of the intron results the bulging out of an unpaired adenosine, on the BPS, which initiates a nucleophilic attack at the intronic 5' splice site, thus starting the first of two transesterification reactions that mediate splicing. Lineage: Eukaryota; Metazoa; Arthropoda; Arachnida; Araneae; Eresidae. The record is from Rfam by way of RNAcentral.